This 582-nucleotide ribosomal RNA is filed under the name uncultured soil bacterium. Its description in RNAcentral is "bacterial SSU rRNA". It matches the Rfam family "Bacterial small subunit ribosomal RNA", at positions 931 to 1533 of the family's 1533-position model. The record is from RNAcentral.
GGUGGAGCAUGUGGUUUAAUUCAGACGAUACGCGAGGACCUUACCAAGGGUUAAAUGUAGAUUGACCGAUUUGGAAACAGAUCUUUCGCAAGACAAUUUACAAGGUGCUGCAUGGUUGUCGUCAGCUCGUGCCGUGAGGUGUCAGGUUAAGUCCUAUAACGAGCGCAACCCCUGUUGUUAGUUGCCAGCGAGUCAUGUCGGGAACUCUAACGAGACUGCCAGGGCAAACUGUGAGGAAGGUGGGGAUGACGUCAAAUCAUCACGGCCCUUACGCCUUGGGCUACACACGUGCUACGAUGGCCGGUACAGAGAGCAGCCACCUCGCGAGGGGGAGCGAAUCUAUAAAACCGGUCACAGUUCGGAUCGGAGUCUGCAACUCAACUCCGUGAAGCUGGAAUCGCUAGUAAUCGGAUAUCAGCCAUGAUCCGGUGAAUACGUUCCCGGGCCUUGUACACACCGCCCGUCAAGCCAUGGAAGCUGGGGGUGCCUGAAGUCGGUGACCGCAAGGAACUGCCUAGGGUAAAACUGGUAACUAGGGCUAAGUCGUAACAAGGUAACAAGUCGUAGAGUUUGAUCAUGGCU